GAGGGGACGUGGCCGCGCCACCAUCUGGAGAGUGAAGACCCCAGCAAGGCCCUGCCUGCCCUAGGGCCCUUGACAUGCACACACAUGUAUUCCAUUUCAUAUGCUCACUGACAUAAGGCUGUAGACAUCAAACACAGUCUCACAGGAGUACACACACACUUACAGGGAAAAACACAGGACUCUCUCCCUGUCUACAGGUAAUCAUAACACCAGGUGCCCAGCGCCUUGGCAGAGAAGGAGGGCACCAGAGUAGCGGGUGCAGGGAACAGAGGGAUGCUGUGCUUUUGGCUUAGUGGAGAGUGUGUGGAGGGGCCUGGAGCCAGGUGAGCCCAGAUUGAGGAGGAGGGGGCCGUGGGGGGUGCUUUGAAUGCCAUUGAAGGUACUGGGGAGCCACAGAAGGUUUCUGGGAGAAUAAGAAGAUGGGAAUUGAGGGCCCUGUGGAAGAGUCUGGUGGGGAGGCAGGAAACAGGGAGUGGCCUGUUUAACACUGGGCGCUGGUGGUUCCAUUCCGAAUCCCAGGUUCCCAGCAUAGGUGAGUGAGCACAAGGCUCAGGAAACAGUUCUUGAAUGAAUGAAUGGCCCAGGCAAGGUGAGGCCUGAACUCAGACCAGGACAGGGGGAUGGAAGAGAGGAGUGGGUUGCCAGAGGCCACUGUGCUUGGCUGCUGUGGCAGCUGAUCGGUUGGAGAAGUCUAAGAUGCUUGGGGGUCUGGGGACCAUAGUAGUACCAUUAGCAGGAAGCAGCGAAAGCAAUGGGAGCAGCACAUUUGUAGGAUGGUGAAAGACAGAUGUGGAGAGGUUGGCAUGGCAAUGACUUCACUGCUUGGAGCCGGUUUGCAUCUGAGUAAAAGCAUAAGUGAGUUUAAAUGUCCCAGAAUUGGUGUCCAUUAAAUCAUCCCAUAAUUGAGAACAGAAAAGGAGAUUGCAGAAGACACAGAUGGCCAAGUCUAUACCAGUUCACAAGCCACCCAGGAGUUUCCCUCUCCAGUGUCAGUGGAAGCUGAUGGAGAAUCGAGGUCUGGACCCAGGGACUCGGGACUCCUAUGGUGCCACCAGCCACCUCCCCAACAAGGGGGCCCUGGCAAAAGCCAAGAACAACUUCAAAGACCUGAUGUCCAAGCUGACAGAGGGCCAGUAUGUGCUGUGCCGGUGGACAGAUGGACUGUAUUAUCUCGGGAAGAUCAAGAGGGUCAGCAGUUCUAAGCAGAGCUGCCUUGUAACUUUUGAAGAUAACUCCAAAUACUGGGUCUUGUGGAAGGACAUACAGCAUGCUGGUGUUCCAGGAGAGGAACCCAAGUGCAACAUCUGCCUGGGGAAGACAUCAGGACCACUGAAUGAGAUCCUCAUCUGUGGGAAGUGUGGCCUGGGUUACCACCAGCAGUGCCACAUCCCCAUAGCGGGCAGUGCCGACCGGCCCCUGCUCACACCUUGGUUCUGCCGACGCUGCAUCUUUGCGCUGGCUGUGCGGAAAGGCGGCGCGCUGAAGAAGGGCGCCAUCGCCAGGACCCUGCAGGCUGUGAAGAUGGUGCUGUCCUACCAGCCCGAGGAGCUGGAGUGGGACUCGCCCCACCGCACCAACCAGCAGCAAUGCUACUGCUACUGCGGCGGGCCGGGAGAAUGGUACCUGCGGAUGCUGCAGUGUUACCGGUGCAGGCAGUGGUUCCACGAGGCCUGCACCCAGUGUCUCAAUGAGCCCAUGAUGUUCGGAGACCGGUUCUACCUGUUUUUCUGCUCCGUGUGCAACCAGGGCCCAGAGUACAUCGAGAGGUUGCCCCUGCGAUGGGUCGAUGUGGUUCACCUGGCCCUCUACAACCUGGGGGUGCAGAGCAAGAAGAAGUACUUUGACUUUGAGGAGAUUCUGGCCUUUGUCAACCACCACUGGGAGCUCCUGCAGCUUGGCAAGCUCACCAGCACCCCCGUGACGGACCGAGGACCGCAUCUCCUCAACGCUCUGAACAGUUAUAAAAGCCGGUUCCUCUGUGGCAAGGAGAUCAAGAAGAAGAAGUGCAUCUUCCGCCUGCGCAUCCGCGUCCCGCCCAACCCCCCCGGGAAGCUGCUGCCCGACAAGGGCCUGGUGCCCACUGAGAACGGCGCCUCUGAGCUGCGUAAGAGAGGAAAGAGCAAGCCUGGUUUGUUGCCUCAUGAUUUCCAGCAGCAGAAAAGGCGAGUUUAUAGAAGAAAAAGAUCAAAGUUUUUGCUGGAAGAUGCUAUCCCCAGUAGUGACUUUACCUCGGCCUGGAGCACCAACCACCACCUAGCCAGCAUAUUUGACUUCACGCUGGAUGAGAUACAGAGUUUAAAAAGCGCCAGCUCAGGCCAGACCUUCUUCUCCGACGUGGACUCCACUGAUGCUGCCAGCACCUCUGGCUCCGCUUCCACCAGCCUUUCCUACGACUCCAGACGGACAGUGGGCAGCCGCAAGAGGAAGCUGGCAGCCAAAGCGUACAUGCCACUGAGGGCAAAGCGGCGGGCGGCCGAGCUGGGUGGACGCUGCCCCUCCGACAGCAGCGCAGAGGGGGCCUCAGGCCCUGAGCGGCCCGACGAGGGCAUCGACAGCCACACGUUCGAGAGCAUCAGUGAAGAUGACUCGUCCUUGUCCCACCUCAAGUCAUCCAUCACCAACUAUUUUGGCGCAGCCGGGCGGUUAGCCUGUGGGGAGAAGUACCAGGUGCUGGCUCGGAGGGUCACGCCUGAGGGCAAGGUUCAGUACCUGGUGGAGUGGGAAGGGACUACCCCUUACUGACCAGCCCCUAAAGGAUGCCAGCAGUCCUGGAAACCAAAGGAGAGACAGCGGAAGCCACAGGCUCCCCAGUUCUCUCCAGGCUGGGGUGGGGGAGGGAAGCAAGACGGAGCUGCAAGUGCCUGGCCAGAGCCCUGCCUGCCCGCCUGCCUGCCAGGGCUGUGCCUCCACUGUGCCCGUUCUGCUCUCCGGCCCCCUCAGGCUCACCACCUCUUUGCCUGUGUCUCUGAGGUCCCGCUGGCUACUUCUCAGUGUCUCCACACACUCCCUCAAACUGUUUACCUGUUCCUCUGAAUUAGUGUCCUGCUGGCUCUGAGGGCUGUUCCUGAUGCCCGAGUCUUUGUCCCCAGUGCGUCCCUUUACCUUUCCUUCCCCUUUUGGGUGUGUGUGUUUACACACCCAACCCUCCACUGGACAUCCUUACACCUGACCCAUCCCAGGGACCACAUCAUGAGAACAGAAACCUUUGAGAAAGACUGGGUGAAGGUGGGUAAGAGGAUGCCUUGAGGAGCCUUUCCCUCUCACUUUCCCGCCUCUCCUUCUGCCCUUGGGAAGAGGUGGUGAGGGUGGGAGAGAGAAUGCCUCUGGAAAGCCCGUGUGGCAGAGGCCCUGGGACCUCAGGAUCUGAGGCGUGAGGAGACUCGGCCUCUGCUUCCGAAGGCACCAGCACCAGAGCCCAGUUAUUAAGGCCCAGAGUGCAGGCUGCAGGCGUCAGCUUCUGAGACCCGUGUUCCCUCCCCUGGCCACAUCCCUCUCUGUUACCAUGGAGCUGGGCCUGGCCUCGCAAACCUGAGGCUGAAGGAAAGGAAGCUGUGUCCUGCUACACCUCAGACUGUCUCCUCUGCCUCCCACCCGCAGACUCACCCCCCCACGCAGAAGCUUCCAUCUGCAUGUGUGCUUUCACCUCCAGGCACACACACGGGCCCCGGCCUCCAGGUGUACACACACCACACACACCACACCCACACCCACACCCACACCCACACACAUUCCUUAGGGUGCCAGCGUGGCUCCUGCCCUUGGCUUUUCCUUGGCUCUCUUCUGGGGGCCAUGUGCUGCAACUCAAUGUGAACAUCCAGCACCUGCCCGUGAACCAGCUGCGACCCUAGAGGGAGGCACGGGGGACUCAUACCCUCUUCCUUAUCCCCUGCCCCGUUCUGAAAUUGACAAUCACUUUUGGGGCAGGUUGGGAUUUUUUUAAAGGGCCUGAGUCAUUAAGUCCCCUCAAAGGGAAGCCUUUGUCAGUGGGAAUAUACAUAGAGUUCUUAGAACCAACAUUAAAACUCAGACCCACCUGGAGGGAGACCAAAAAUGGGAGGGGGAGGAGACCCCUCAUUUUUGCUGCUUCCAGAGGUAUUAGAAACUGACUCACUUGAUUGGAAAGAAGUGCCUUGACUGGGGCGAGGGGUGUUACCUGAUGGGGACCAUCCUUGCCAACUGCUGCUGUGGCCUCCGGCUCGGCUGGGUUUUGGAGGCUGCCGGCUGCAAGGUGAAGGGGGGUGAACAGUGAGCUGAGGGCAGCAGGCCUGGAGCUGGUUUUUCCAUUAGGCUGACCCCUCCCCAUCUGUGGGCAUUCAGGGGGGUCCCUGAGAGAGUUCAGAUGCCCCUUGCCUCAAACCUCAGCCCCAACAGUGCCUUUCAACUGGGACCUCACCUCCUGUACACAGCCCACCCACUUCCUUCUGCUUCCCAGCAUGGUCCAGGCAGGAACAAGCUGGUUGGGCCCAGUUCUCUCCCUUCUCAGCUCCACAGCUGCUGCCACUGAAGCCCGCAACUGGGGCCAGGUGGAAGGGGAGCUGAGAAGGCAGCUCCCAACCGCCUGAAGUACGGGGCCAGACCUAACCGGGUGCCUCCUGCCUGGCUCCAGAGAACACAGCAGCCUCCCAGGCCUGCCUUCCAGGCUCCUGAGAAAGUGCAGGAUGAACACAGCCUGUCAGUGGACCUGUACCUCCUCCACUCAAGCUCCAGAGGCUCUGGCCUUGAAGAGGAGGACGGGGGGAGACAGUGUCUUCCUCACCUGGAGUGAAAUAUCAGCUGUUGGGUACCAGGAGGAAUUAGCUCUGGUUUCCUGGAAGGUGAAGAGGAAUGGUGAGACCCCAUCCUCUCUCUGGCCACUGUGCCACUCCUACCACCACCACAUUCUCUCAGCAAUAUUCUCACCUUUGCCACCAGAAGGAUGUGGAACCUUUUUUCUGUGAGUACCUGACCCAUGGGGGCAAAAAACAUUUGCUGAGGGCCACAGAGAAGUGAAAGCUGGGGACUGAGUUUAGAAUGCGACCCUACGAAGAUGCUUAAGUACAGGCACUGUAAAACUUCGUUCAGAGUUUGCAAGCACACAGUUGUAGAAAUCUGAAGUGCAUUCCUGGCCUGGCUCUGCUGGUUGGAACCUGCACCACUUUGUCAGGUUCCUUUGCUCCAGUUCCUCACCCUUCACAUGCCUGGGAGAAUCCCCGCUGUAUUCAGCACCGCAGAUACUGAGGGAGCCCUCUCACAUACAAAUGUGAUGGACUACCACCUUAAAUAAACUUCUCUAAAUCGGGGGUAGUUUGGAGAGAGAACAAGAGGCAGCAUGAAGGGAUAGGAAAAAGCUACAGGGAACUGAAGGCUAUGAGUUCAACUGAACUCUGUUUUCAGAGGUUAGUGUAGCAUGUUAAACCCCAAGUGUUAAUGUCUGCCCUUAAAAAUCUUCUUUAACUACGGCUCCCGCUUUUUCCUACCACUCUUUCUGCUGCAACUUUAUAACUGCCCUUGGAACAAAACCACAGUUGGAGCUAGGGCGGGGUAGAGGAUGGGAUUAUUCUCUGGGCUGAAAUCAGCGUAAUGGAAUAAAAAGUGAACGGCACCAAGCAUCCAGAGAUCUGGGCUCUAGUCCAAGUUCUACAGUGAAGAGCCCUAUACACCCUCCUGAGGUGAGUGGUCUCCCCGAGCUGGGGAGUCCCUGCUGUUCCUGUGUGGUCUACGUUAGUGUUCACAAAUUUACAACACAUAUCUAUCUACGUUUAGAAUUUAGGAGCAAGAAAUCAGAAUUCUCAAAAAUUCCCCAAAUCAUAACUUAUUCUUAAAAUACUGUGAACAUUCUUCAUACUUUCCCCGUUAUUACAGAUAUCUAAAAAAAAAAAAAAUUAACAAAUAGGAAUAGUAAGCUUAGUAGAAUUUAGAGAAAACUACAGCCUCUAGGGAAUACUUAAACACUGGAAAACACCAGGGAACAUUAUUGGAUAGUAUUCAAAUAAUGUAACAUUCAAAUAUCCUAACAAGGUUAGGAGUAUACAGAAUCAUGUGUCAAAAUUGCCAAAUUAAGAAUUUAUUUUGCUUCCAAAGCUUAUUUCUUGGAACACUGCUCAUAGGAUUUGUAUAAAGUACACUACAUGUAUAAACUUAUCUUAUUUGCAAGAAUAACUCACAGUUUGCGGCAGACAGGGCUACACACACACUCUUAUGACGUGCCAACAAUCACAGGCAAGACUGACUCAGUGGAAACCAUCUCUCUUCUACAUGCUCCUGUCCUGGUUCUCUUAGUCUUCAACUCUAUGUUAGCAUUUCUUGCUCUAGUUUUUUAUUUGAUGAAGCUGGAGUCCCUCAAACCAGCAACGUCUCUAUGCUUUUAAGCUUUAGUGUUCACGGAUAAAACUUUAAUACUUUUUCACAUUUCCUCAACUGACUCUCCUCUCCCAGGGAUUCUGGGAUCAAAAAACAUAAGUUUCCUGAGAAAUGCUGGGAAGGAAUUCCCGCGUGGAAACCCUGAUGAAGGUCCUAGCCCCAGCUCCCACAGCAUCAUCUGGGAGGACAAUGUGGUAUAGUGGCCAAACCAUGUAAGCUGGAGUCACACAGACCCUAACCAUUAAACUCCUCUAAAUCCGUUCCCUCAUCUGCAGAAUUGAAGAUAUCACCAACAUACAGAUCUGUGGGGAGAAGUAAUGCAAUAUAUCAACACCAACUACCACACGUUUUCAGAGCGAAUAACUCUUCCUUUAGAGUUGGCUACAGCAGGUUCUCUGGAUCUUUGGCCUACAAAGGGAUACACCCAACCUCUUUGAAAGAGGCAGUAAGAGCAUCAGAUUUAGAAUCAGAGACUUGGGUUAGGAGCCUAGUUCUGCCAUUUACUUUUAAGUGUCUCCUGCUCUCUGACCUCAGGUUUCAACUGCAAAAUGAGGAUAACACUGACUUGUAAGGAUAAAAUAAUGUUAAGAACCUAGGGCAGUACCUGGCAGAGACAGCUGGUGUCUUGUCCCUGUCUUCUCCUAUUGCCUAUAGUCAGCUGUGACACUGUCACAAAGGAAGGCCACCAAGAAACAGUUUUCAAUGCACAGUCAGCACAGAAAAUGAACUAAUGAAGGCCAGAGAUAGAAAGAAAAACCUCCUUUGGAAUUAGUCCCACCUAAAAAAAGUUGAAGGAAAAAAAGUUGGAUUUUUGCCAACUCCAUAAAUUAGGAAGUAAUUGUGGACCAUAGAGAAAGCUUUAGCUAUUCAAAUCCUUGUAACAUCAAUUCAGGAAAUUAUCUGCCAAACCCAGUGCAAGAGAUCAAAUGGAUUCAAACAUAUCCCUCACCUCGAGCAGCUCACAGUCUAGAAACAGGAGACUGACUGUGACACACAAGGAUAACAGGACAUCAAGGCAGGAGAGAUUCCUUCCAACCAGGGAUGCCAGCCCUUGCCAAGAAGGCUUCUUAAGCACUCAUGCAGAAGGGUGAUCAGGCAGAGGGGAUGGCCUGAACACGGGAGUAACAGCACAGCACACUGGAGCACCCACAUGCCAGAAUAGGUGAGGACUGAAAAUUGAGUUGAGACAAGGCUCUGAAGGGCCUUGAAAUCCAGACCAAGAAAUUGACUUUAUCGUGAAAGCAAUACGGACAGUCCAUUUGGGGUCCCCAGUACAUUUUCGGUAGGGUUUACUUUACACAAGAUUUUCACAUGCACCAGAAACAUCUGUCAUAAAAAAAAAGGACAUCACCAUUAACAUUUUCUUUCUUCUCCUGAGGCAGCCCACCAAACUCCCCACUAUCACAAACAGGAUCCUCUGGACCUUUGGAAGGGGCUCAGCCUGAAGUCGCUACAUGGUCUUCAUGGAAGGGUCCUUGCAGAUCCUCCCUCAUUUUAUAUCUGGAGGAACUAAGGUCCAAGAAGCACAGAAGGUGUCAGAACCAGAGGCUGGCAACACCCUUCCCACACACCCUUCCCUCUUGAGAAGGAAGACCUAGGAUACCGCAGAUGUCUGUGGACUCCCACCCAAACUGCCCAUGGUGUCCCCAGAGCGGAGUCACCUUGUGACAGAGCCAUGGAAGCAGCCUAGAUCAGGUCUCUCUUCUCACCCCACAGGGAUCUUCCCCGUGGAGAAGACACCUGUGGAACAGGUUUAGGAGAGCACCAGACAGAGUGAGCAGCCUUGGCUAUCCCGUCUGUAACUCAGCAUUGCCACCCACUUUCUGGACCUCAUUGCAGUUCAGUUUCCUUUCCUAUAAAAUGGAGACUGGCUUAGGCCACUGGUUUACAAACUUUUAACAACAGAAACUUAGCUCAAUACAUAAAAAUAAUAAAAGCACAGUUGCACUGGUUGAAGUAUGAGUAGCCCCCAGGAUACCUUCUGUGAACCCCUGGGGUUCUGUGGAGCAAGUCUGAAAAACACUUGUCUAGCAGUCCCCCUGGGUUCUUCCUCCUUCAGGAUGCUCAGUUUCAAUGCUCAAGUGGAGAGGUUAGUAUGGUGGGCUCAGAACCCAUGUCUCCACUGAUCAGGGCACCAGAACCUUCUGAUGUCUGCCCCUUCAGGCUAGGAAAGAGUCAAGACCUACUCCCAAUCCGUGAGGCUAUGUCUAAGCCCUAAUACUCCCUAGUGCUACGUGCACUCAGGAAGCCCACUUCCAGUCCCACUUCCUCAGGACUCAGGAAUAACAAACACCAUCUUUAGCUAGAAGAAAUAAAAUCCUGCUUGUCCCUGAAAUUCCACCAUUAGCAAUUCAUGCUUUUGGAUAGAGCACUUCCAGUUCCCCUAGAAGGUGGCAUUCGCCCCACACACUUCUGGGUGACAGGUCAACAGGUCCAUUCCUCAUGAGAGGCAGGAGAGUAAUAACAUACUAGGCACUCAAUAUAGGCUCAGUGAAUGUAGAUGACAAACCUCACCCUCACUGCUGCCUCCCCUUGGUCCCCAUACACAGUCACCCUCGCCCUCCCACCCCCAGCCACCUUUACGCAUGAUGCACUCAGAGACAAGAUCCACGGGGUUCUUGCUUGGCCUGACUGGCCCAGCGUCCUCUUCCAGCCUCAGAAGCCUUGGGCCUUCACCCUCCACAAGUUACUUAACUCCUCUGUGCUGACAAAAGCAUGGAAUCCAGAGAUGCGAGGGGGCAGAGAGAAGCCUCCCCUCCCCCAGAGAACAGCUGAUGAAGGUUAGAGUCAGCCAGCAGGAGGCACAAGAAGCCCCCACUCAUUCCUCCUCCAUGCCCUCCUCCAGCCACUUUAAAUAGUGCACAUCUCCUUGGUCCAUGGGAAGACUGAAGACCUCUGGGAUUUCAAAAGGAUGCACCAACCUUUGGAAAGAAAGCAGAGCUCUGUGAGUGACCAGGAUUAGUCAGCCUAUGCAAUAAAACCCAACUGGGCAGCCUCACUUGAGGCCCUCUGCAAUAUGCCUGCAGCCCACUGCUCCAGCCCCACAGCCCACCACUCCUACGCCUGUUACCCAUCUGUCACCAAGUGAUGAGUUAGGCCAGACGGCUUUAGAGUCUCACAGACAUGGGUUCAAAUUCUAAGCCUGCCACUUACUAGCUAUGUAAGCACGGACAAAUCACUUAAUUUCCCUAAAGGCCCUGCAAAAGAGGGGAUAAAAAUAGUACCUAUGUGACUGGAUUGCUGAGGAUUACAUGAGACAAGGUAUAUAAGGCACAUACCUGGUACACUGGCGCUGUAUGCAUUCAGUAAAUGUUAGCUACUGUUUUUAUUACUAUCCUUCACUCAUCACUGGGCCUUCCGCAAACAACUCCCCCUUCCCCUGUACCUCUGUAUUCUCUUCUCCACCUAGAAAGUUCUCCCUGUUCCUGCUGAUAAAUCAAAAGCCUCUCUGUUCCUCAAGGCUCAACUCAACCACUGACCUUUCCCCAGGGAUCUUCCUUGACCAUCCAAACCCACAGCAAUCUCUCCCUUUUCCCCAUUUCUUUCACCUAGUCCUCACCUAGUCCUGGCACAAAAUGCCAGUUCUCUUCACUUUCCAAAUGGAAAAAACAUGAGGCCUUGGGCGCUGGUCCCAUCUGUCACACAGGAGUAAUGAUCCUCUGCUGCUUUUUUGCUGAAUUAGGCACUGUAAAGUUCUCAUGAGAUAGAAUGUUUACUAAAUCACAACAUGUGUAUGUACAGGUGCUUAAACAUUAGCAGUAAGCUGGGUAAUUUUAUCUAAUGCCUGAGAAAAAUGAAUUUUCUUAUUUCACGGAUACCUAGACCAGUGUAUGUGUUUUUAUAAGCAGACACACAGAAUUCAGUGUAUGUAGGUCUGAAUAGCAUUCAGCAUAAGACUUUUUUUUUUUUUUUUUUUUGCGGUACGCAGGCCUCUCACUGUUGUGGCCUCUCCCAUUGCGGAGCACAGGCUCCAGACGCGCAGGCUCAGCGGCCAUGGCUCACGGGCGCAGCCACUCCGCGGCACAUGGGAUCCUCCCGGGGCACAAACCCGUAUCCCCUGCAUCGGCAGGCGGACUCUCAACCACUGUGCCACCAGGGAAGCCCCCAGUAUAAGGCAUUUUAAUAACACUUUAGUAGUAAGAGCUGUCACUGAUACAGCAAUUCAUGCGUAUACUUGACAUAAGUUCUUUCCAAUAUGCAUAACAACCCAAGGUACUAGUAUAGUCCCCAUUUUAUAGAUGGGGCAACUGAGGCACAGAAAGUAAUUUGCAUGCACUUAUGCUACAACCAGCAAGUGGAAGAGGCAGGAUUUGACGCUGGAGGUCAAGCUCUGGGGUUCACUGUCUUAACCCUGAAGCUGUCUUUCACCAGUCAGGCUGUAAUUUCUCAACAGCACUGGUUCUACCAAAGAUACCCUAUUUCCACACCUGCGCUAAGGCAGUAACAUGAGGGCCUUCUCUACCAAUAGAUCUGAGACCCAGUAUAGCCAUAUAACCAUAGAAUCCUGCCUGGUUCCCUAAGAUGUGAAAGGAAAGGGUUUUAUCAUCCAGACAGGUGACUUGCAUCCUGGCUGCAAGGAGAGUCAACCUGGGUGCUUUGAAGAACACCAUAUUUGAUCCCCAUUCCAGAUGAAUUAGGUCAGAAUCUGAGGUGGAGCCCAAAUUGGUAAUUUGAGAAAGUCUCCAUGUGAUUAUAAUAUGUAGCCAACAUCAAAAAUCACUGGUUUAGACCAGAGAAUCUCAAGCUUUUACUGUGCAUAGGAAUCACCUGGGGAUCUUGUUGAACUGUAGUUUGAUUCAGUAGGUUUGGGGUGAGUGUGAGAUUCUGCAUUUAUGGCAAGCUUCCAGGUGAUGCCAAUUAUUACAAAACUACACUCUGAAUGAUAAAUAAGGAUUUACACCAGUGGUUCUCAAGUGGAGUCCACUGACCCCUGGGGAACUCCAAGCCUCUUUCAGGAGGUCCAUGAGGCCAAAACUAUUUUCAUAAUAAUACUAACUGUUAUUUAUCUUUUCAUUUACGUUGACAUUUGCACUGAUGGUACAAAAGCAAUGAUGGGUAAAACUGGUGGCACCUUAGCAUGCAUCAAGACAACAGCACCAAACUGUACUAGCUCUCACUGUAUUCUUCACCACCACAAUACUUGCAUUUUAAAAAAGUCAAAUUCACUUAAGAACAUUCUUGAUAAUGUGGUAAAAAUUACUAUUUUUAUUAAAGUUUGACCCUUGAGUGUGCCUUUUUAAUAUUCUGUGUGACAGAAUGGGAAGCAUACAUAAAGCACUUCUGCUAUAUACCUAAGUUCAAUGUUGUCUUACACUUGUCUGACUGAGACACAAGCUAAACUAGACUUUUCCCAAAGAAUACCAUUUUUACUUUCAAGCCUGAGUAACCAUCAUUUGUCAGUUUUACAAAUUAAGGUUACUCAGGUUUGAGUAUUAGGUAGACAUUUUAUCAAAUAUGAACAAAGUGGGCCCAUCACUCAAACGAAGACAAUUUAUAUCAUUUAAUGCCAAUUUAAAAAUUCAUGUUUUGGGGGUUGGGGAGGGAAGGACUGGGAGUCUGGGAUUAGCAGAUGCAAACUAUUAUAUACAGGAUGGGUAAACAAGGUCCUACUGAAUAGCACAGGGAACUAUAUUCCCUAUCCUUUGAUAAACCAUAAUGGAAAAGAAUAUGAAAAAGAAUAUAUAUAUAUAUAUAAAAAUGAGUCACUUUGCUCUACAGCAGAAAUUAAACACAAUAUUGUAAAUUUAAAAAAAAUCAUGUUUUUAAGCAAAAAUCAGAAGUUUGGAAAACCUGAAUUUAUCAUCAUGAGCUUAAAAGUGUCCCAACACUUAAAGAUGCUUUUGACAAGAUCCAGCUCUCUUAUUAAGCCAGAUUUUGCAAAAAUGGAAAAUGAUGCCAUUCUUCUCACUUUUUUGUUUUUUGGAAAAUAUGGUUACUUUCCAUAAAAAUACAUUACUAGCAUACCUUGUUUUAUUGCACUACGCUUUAUUACAGAUACUGUGUGUUUUUAGAAAUUGAAGGUUUGUGGCAACCCUGCAUCAAGCAAGUCUAUUGAUGCUACAUUUGCUCACUUUGUGUCUCUGUCUCACAUUUUGCUAAUUCUUGCAAAAUUUCAAACUUUUUCAUGAUUAUUAUAUUUGUUAUGGUGAUGUCAUCAGUGAUCUUUGAUGUUACUAUAAUUGUCUUUUGUUUUGUAUUUUUAAAUUAAGGUAUGUACAUUGUGUUUUUUAGACAUAACGCUAUUAACACACUUAAUACGCUGCAGUAUAGGUUAAACAUAACUUUUAUAUACACUGGGAAACCAAAAAAAAAAAUCAUAUGAUUCACUUUAUUGCGGUGGUCUGGAACCAAAGCUGUCUGAGGUAUGCCUGUAUUUAUGUUAAUAUGUAAUUGUUCUAUUACUGUUAAUUUAAAUGAACUAAAAAUACAUAUUUUAAAAAUU
Molecule: RNA transcript, 12781 nt
Organism: Orcinus orca (killer whale)
Lineage: Eukaryota; Metazoa; Chordata; Mammalia; Artiodactyla; Delphinidae
Gene: PHF19
Gene name: PHD finger protein 19
Exons: 16
Source: RefSeq, a predicted model, not a curated record